GAUGAACGCUAGCUACAGGCUUAACACAUGCAAGUCGAGGGGAAACGGCAUCGCAAGCUUGCUUUUGAUGGGCGUCGACCGGCGCACGGGUGAGUAACGCGUAUCCAACCUGCCCAUCACUUGGGAAUAACCUUGCGAAAGUAAGACUAAUGCCCAAUGACAUCCCACGAAGGCAUCCGAAUGGGAUUAAAGAUUUAUCGGUGAUGGAUGGGGAUGCGUCUGAUUAGCUUGUUGGCGGGGUGACGGCCCACCAAGGCAACGAUCAGUAGGGGUUCUGAGAGGAAGGUCCCCCACAUUGGAACUGAGACACGGGCCAAACUCCUACGGGAGGCAGCAGUGAGGAAUAUUGGUCAAUGAGCGAGAGCCUGAACCAGCCAAGUAGCGUGCAGGAUGACGGCCCUAUGGGUUGUAAACUGCUUUUAUAGGGAAUAAAGUGGGUCACGUGUGACUUUUUGCAUGUACCUUAUGAAUAAGGACCGGCUAAUUCCGUG
RNAcentral lists this ribosomal RNA (491 nucleotides) under uncultured bacterium. Its description in RNAcentral is "partial 16S ribosomal RNA". It matches the Rfam family "Bacterial small subunit ribosomal RNA", at positions 28 to 507 of the family's 1533-position model. The record is from RNAcentral.